UACGUAGGGUGCAAGCGUUGUCCGGAAUUAUUGGGCGUAAAGAGCUCGUAGGCGGCUUGUUGCGUCGGCUGUGAAAACCCGCGGCUUAACUGCGGGCUUGCAGCCGAUACGGGCGGGCUGGAGUUCGGUAGGGGAGACUGGAAUUCCCGGUGUAGCGGUGAAAUGCGCAGAUAUCAGGAGGAACACCGGUGGCGAAGGCGGGUCUCUGGGCCGAUACUGACGCUGAGGAGCGAAAGCGUGGGGAGCGAACAGG
RNAcentral lists this ribosomal RNA (253 nucleotides) under uncultured bacterium. RNAcentral's name for it is "partial 16S ribosomal RNA". It matches the Rfam family "Bacterial small subunit ribosomal RNA", at positions 524 to 776 of the family's 1533-position model. The record is from RNAcentral.